AGGUUCCCGGCGGGAGCCUGCCCCCCAUUACCAUCCAUGUGGACCUCGAAUCAGGUAAGGAUACCCGCUGAACUUAAGCAUAUCA
RNAcentral lists this ribosomal RNA (85 nucleotides) under Coccocarpia palmicola. RNAcentral's name for it is "partial 28S ribosomal RNA". Lineage: Eukaryota; Fungi; Ascomycota; Lecanoromycetes; Peltigerales; Coccocarpiaceae. The record is from RNAcentral.